Non-coding RNA from Triticum aestivum (bread wheat), 135 nucleotides. NCBI's taxonomy places the organism in Eukaryota, Viridiplantae, Streptophyta, Magnoliopsida, Poales, Poaceae. The record is from Rfam.
GUUGUACUCCCUCCGUCCAGAAAUACUUGUCAUCAAAAUAGAUAAAAAGGGAUGUAUCUAGAUGUAUUUUAGUUCUAGAUACAUCUCAUUUUAUCCAUUUUGGUGACAAGUAUUUUCGGAUGGAGGAAGUAAGAG